RNAcentral lists this ribosomal RNA (298 nucleotides) under uncultured Sphingomonadaceae bacterium. Its description in RNAcentral is "partial 16S ribosomal RNA". It matches the Rfam family "Bacterial small subunit ribosomal RNA", at positions 111 to 426 of the family's 1533-position model. Lineage: Bacteria; Pseudomonadati; Pseudomonadota; Alphaproteobacteria; Sphingomonadales; Sphingomonadaceae. The record is from RNAcentral.
UAACGCGUGGGAAUCUGCCCUGGAGUGGGGGAUAACCGAGGGAAACCUCGGCUAAUACCGCAUACGUCCUGAGGGAGAAAGAUUUAUCGCUCUAGGAGGGGCCCGCGUCGGAUUACCUAGUUGGCGGGGUAACGGCCCACCAAGGGGACGAUCCGUAGGUGGUCUGAGAGGAUGAUCAGCCACACUGGGACUGAGACACGGCCCAGACUCCUACGGGAGGCAGCAGUGGGGAUUAUUGGACAAUGGGCGCAAGCCUGAUCCAGCAAUGCCGCAGGAGUGAUGAAGUCCUUAGGGUUGU